UACGUAGGGGCCAAGCGUUGUCCGGAAUUAUUGGGCGUAAAGAGCAUGUAGGCGGUUUGGUAAGUCAGAUGUUAAAUCUAUAGGCUCAACCUGUAGCCGCAUCUGAUACUGCCUGGCUAGAGAAUGGUAGAGGAAAGCGGAACUUCCGGUGUAGCGGUGAAAUGCGUAGAUAUCGGAAGGAACACCAGUGGCGAAGGCGGCUUUCUGGGCCAUUUCUGACGCUGAGAUGCGAAAGCUAGGGGAGCAAACGGG
This 252-nucleotide ribosomal RNA is filed under the name uncultured bacterium. RNAcentral describes it as "partial 16S ribosomal RNA". It matches the Rfam family "Bacterial small subunit ribosomal RNA", at positions 524 to 776 of the family's 1533-position model. The record is from RNAcentral.